ACCGAGGAAGGCCCGACGGCACCGAAAACUGCUAAUUUUCGCCACUCUGGUUAAACUCCAGGGCUCCCUC
This 70-nucleotide transfer RNA is filed under the name Microcanthus strigatus (stripey). RNAcentral's name for it is "tRNA-Ser". The record is from RNAcentral. Lineage: Eukaryota; Metazoa; Chordata; Actinopteri; Centrarchiformes; Kyphosidae.